Long non-coding RNA from Belonocnema kinseyi, 329 nucleotides. RefSeq lists it as uncharacterized. The record is from RefSeq and is a predicted model, not a curated record. The transcript has 3 exons. NCBI's taxonomy places the organism in Eukaryota, Metazoa, Arthropoda, Insecta, Hymenoptera, Cynipidae.
UGAUCAUUUUAAUAAGAAAUUUAACCUCCAAGUAUAAAAAAGUGCAGUUUGACUUGCAAAUAUCACUUGCUCCAUGAUGAGAAGUAUGAUUUAUGUAUACUGGAAAUGAAGAUAUGGGAAAGCAACCCUAAACUCGGCUACUAUGCACUGUCCAGAUGUGCAUUAUUGAUUUCCGAAGGUUGGUCGAACAAGACUUUUAAAAUUGAAAUCGGCAGCUCUGGUGAAACAAAAUCAUCUGUUGUUUGAAACAUUCAACGAUUCCAAUGGAAUUUCCUGUUGUUUGUUUGUAACCAAUAACCAUAAUACUUGAAAAAAAUUGAAAUAUGUAU